Long non-coding RNA from Bombus huntii, 3924 nucleotides. RefSeq lists it as uncharacterized. Lineage: Eukaryota; Metazoa; Arthropoda; Insecta; Hymenoptera; Apidae. The record is from RefSeq and is a predicted model, not a curated record. The transcript has 3 exons.
AUACAUAUAUUUAUCGUCUAUAAAGUUUUAAAUGCCACGAUAAGUAAUAUCUGUUGCAUUAUCUCCAACUAAUUAGCAACUAGCGAUACUAGCGUACUACGCAUUCCGAAAUGCGUCGCUCUGCCAAUAAAUAAGUACGUACAAUACGUAUAAAUAAGUUAUUUCGUAUUAGCAUGUGUAUAAUAUAGCGUAUAGUAGUAACGUAUAUAGUAUUUGUCUAGUUGUAGCUCUGAAAUCUAGCUCUCAAAUUAGAAACUCAGCCCUAUUUAGGGCUAACGAAUAAAUCGCCGUUUCAUUGAUAGAAAAAAGUAUAAAACUGAAUUUUAUUCGUUACGCUAUAGUUACGCGGAAGAACCUACGAGGUUCGACAAGCCUCAAUGUCAAAACAAUAAGGAAAGACGUCAUCGAACAAUUACGAUUACUAUCGCGAUUAUUACUUGUGUUGUGGUCUCGCAGGCUGAAUUAUCCAGGGGAUCUACGAUAAUCAUAAAAUCAACGUUUAAUUUACUCGUUAUUUUAAUUCUCUUCUCAGCGAAAUGUUCGUAAGUAGCCAUUUACUCGCAGUGGGGCGGUAAUGCGUUUGAUAGAAGCGAAGAGGAAACGUCGUUCGACGCGCGUAACUUCAUUUAGUACGACGUAGAAUGUCUCGUCUUUAUUAGCUUUAUUUACUCGCCAAUUUUCCGAAGCGCUACGUGGUUGUUAGUUCUAUUUUCUAAUAUUUUACUGCAAGUUAAAACCAUCGCUAUUGAAACGCGGCCGUUGCCCGAUAAGUUUAGAGGAGGAGAGGAAACGCGGCUUUAUCGCCACGAAAUCUGCCAACUAUCGCGGUGGAACGAAUUUCUGGCAGCGUGCCCUGAGCAUGGAACAUGCUUCUGAGAUUCAUUCGUUUCAUGACUCGUUUCACACGUCGUCGUGACCACGAGGUUCACAACGGACAAUCACGCAGAUGCAAUGAUCGGCGUUCACCUUCGUAUGGCAAUCGUCUUCUCCCUAUCCAUUCCGAUCUAUCUUUCAUUCUUCCGGCCACAGAUAAUACAUAACAGCCAUCUUACAGAACACAAUACGCAAAUACGGAUAAGCUAUCGUUACGCGCGUCGAUCGUUGGGUGGUGUGUCAUCGUACAAGUGGUCGACCGUUAUCGUGUUCGCGAGGGUGCCUGGAUUUUUCGGCCGGCUCUUUGCGCCGAUCCUCGUCUCGAUCCUCGUCUCGAUCCACGUCCCUGCACAAAAGUCACGCGGUACAGAGGAUGCCGUAAUACGUGAUCGCUUGCCAUACUUUUCUAUUCCUGGCAGAAUAAAGGACGUUUGGACGAUUUCAACGGUCUCUGAUACACAGGAUCAUUGGACGAUAUAUAAUCAAGCAAGCAAUCGAUCUUACGUUGGAACGCGCGUUCGAAACGGUGACCGUUUGCAUCGAUGCAACGUUGGAAUCGUCAAAUUGUCGAAGGCCGUGCACUUCUUAUCGUUUGCUGAUCGUGCAACGCUACAUUGUAAUAUUCUCGCUGUGCGUUGUAUAUAGAGAGUGAUUCAUAAACGAACGUCGAUACUUGAUUGCUGCAGGGUGUGUAAAUUUGCACGCUAAUAUAAGCAAAGUACGUACACUCCGCUUUCGAGUGUACGUACGAUCGAUGAUGGAUAGCGGAAAGGAUCCAUUAUACGUCUACCACCGAUCUAAAUCUUUUAGUCUAAAGUUUCUUUUCUCCCUUCUCACACAUUUAAGAUCUAUUUUGCGUUGAACGCAAAUAGUGAAAGUGAACAAUGUACACGGUGCGCUGCUACGAGUGACUAUUCCGACUAAUAGCGAGCGAGUACGCGAGCGAAUGUCAGGCGUGCAAUAGCGUGUGUCGAGACACGAAGCGGACACCUGGAACAUCUUCUUCGAACAUGCGUAACUCGAAAAGUACGUAGAGCGUAAUGUCGCUUCCUUCCGUCUUUCGUUUUCAUCGUUUCUCGUAAAUGUGGCCCGAUCGAACGAAACCUACUGGUUACGAUCGAAAUCAAUGAAAAACUGCCGUUGACAGAUUUUCCAGUUUUUAUAUGGUGUUUUGUCGCGAUGAGAGAAAUGUAUAGAUCGAUAUAUAACUAACUAAUAAACCAACUAAAAUGUUGCUUUGUCUAGAAAAUACGCAACACGUUCAACAUAUCGAACACGAAGCAUGAUUUUUAUGUAUCAGCUAGUAAGCAUGUUUUUUUCAAGAUACGAAUACACGUAACGAACGAUGCAGCUCGUUACAGAAUUGAAGUUACAAAAAAUAUUUACAACCAUCCAUCGCUGUUUCUGCUCUUUUCAACAAAAUUGACAACUUUGUGAGUAAUUCCAAUGCUUUUAGAGGGCAUCGCUCAAUCUCGUAUUUUCCAAUCGUUAUUAAUUAUCAGAUAUUAAAUGUUAAUAAUGAUAGUAAGCAAAAGAAUAAAAAAUAUAAACAUCGAAUAAAAUACACCGUAAUUUAGAAAUUUCCAUAGCUCGGCACUCUAAACGCAAAGCCGACAAAAUUUGUAACGCGUAAUGGAUCGAAUGUAAACACGUUACCACCGUGGAGGUGGAUGCUAGGAAAUGUUGUCGAUGCUAGAAAAUUUUCUCGGGCAAACCGACCCUGUAAACGUGCAUGCGCACACGCACGAUCCCGAGCAGAUGGAGCCAAGUCAGCGGGAAAGUAUAACGAGAUUCCGGGAAAUCCACCCUUCCUUCUGUCACGUCCCUAUCGUCCAUUUCGCGUGUCGGUUUACGCUCGGUGUAGGAGGAAAGCGAGCGAGUCGACGAUGCGAGAAGAAACGAGACGGCGCGGAAUGCCAAUUUGCCGUCAGACCGGCCGCCUCGCCGGUUAUAAUCCAACGAUGAAACUUUGUAACGCGAAAGAGACGCGAUCGUUCACUCAUUGGUAGACGGUUAUCCGAAGGAAAAUGAAAUUAUCGCGUCGAUACCUGAAAUCGAUCUGUGAAAUAGGAACUUUUAUUUCUGCGUCUCUACGAAGAUGAUCAGAAAGGUCCGAAGAGGCUCUUCUUUGAUACUAAGAGGAAAGGAUUGCUGGAGACUGUGAUUACCAAUGAUUUCGCCAGUAAUCGAGUAGCAAUUUUUUAAUUUUUUAGCACUGCGAAUAACUACUUAUAUUAUGACUUUCGAAGAAUGGAAAAGAUUAGUUACCGGCUAAAAAACUUGCCACGACCGCGAGGCUCGUUUGUCUACCACUGUCACGCCCUUUCUCUCCUUCCAAAAGUUGAACAAAGUUCCGUGAAUGGAAGCGAUUCGAUGCGCGCAACCGUCAUGUAGAAGCCACAAGGAUCACAAGUCAGGAUCUCAGCCAGCUGAGAAGCUAUUGGCAAAAACGUUUCGAAAGUAGAGAAAGAGAGACACUAUUUUACGCGAGUAAACUUUUGGCUGAAUAAUUUUCCGCUCUUGUGACAAGUUUUAUCGACACACCAUGAUCUAGUUUUUCCUCUUGGUCAAAAAUCACCAUCGUUGUGCGUAGAAGCAAAGAUUGUGAGUAUGAUCUAAAAACUACCGGAUCUACGCAGCUUGACCCUUACUCUUCUCUUCCAUCGUCUCCUCUUUAUAAACAAGGAUCGAGCGAGCUUAAACGCCCCGUGUAUAACGCGCAUAUCCAAAAAAUGUCCCUUAUUACCUAUAACUCGUUUAAGACUGAACGUCACACAUGUUAUUGGGUUUUGGUUUCAGUUGGAUUUUUCAAUAAAAAAAGUGCCUGCGAUAGCACUCUAUACUUUUAUUAAUCCAGCAAGGACCUCGCCAUUAACGCCGAGUAGAAAUUACAGAUAUUGCGCUUUUUAUAUUUCCUUAUAAUACUCUUUCGUUCCUCCUUGCACGCACAUUGCCCAGUUAAUUUGUGUUAAAAGGGGCAUUUACAAGAAAGAAAUUGUCACAUUAGGUUAAUUUUAAAGGCAUAUGAAUAAAUAAAUAGAAAGAGAUACA